AUUGAACGCUGGCGGCAGGCCUAACACAUGCAAGUCGAGCGGAUGAAGGGAGCUUGCUCCUGGAUUCAGCGGCGGACGGGUGAGUAAUGCCUAGGAAUCUGCCUGGUAGUGGGGGAUAACGUCCGGAAACGGGCGCUAAUACCGCAUACGUCCUGAGGAGAGAGUGGGGGAUCUUCGGACCUCACGCUAUCAGAUGAGCCUAGGUCGGAUUAGCUAGUUGGUGGGGUAAAGGCCUACCAAGGCGACGAUCCGUAACUGGUCUGAGAGGAUGAUCAGUCACACUGGAACUGAGACACGGUCCAGACUCCUACGGGAGGCAGCAGUGGGGAAUAUUGGACAAUGGGCGAAAGCCUGAUCCAGCCAUGCCGCGUGUGUGAAGAAGGUCUUCGGAUUGUAAAGCACUUUAAGUUGGGAGGAAGGGCAGUAAGUUAAUACCUUGCUGUUUUGACGUUACCAACAGAAUAAGCACCGGCUAACUUCGUG
RNAcentral lists this ribosomal RNA (483 nucleotides) under uncultured bacterium. Its description in RNAcentral is "partial 16S ribosomal RNA". It matches the Rfam family "Bacterial small subunit ribosomal RNA", at positions 30 to 507 of the family's 1533-position model. The record is from RNAcentral.